AGAGUUUGAUCCUGGCUCAGGACGAACGCUGGCGGCGGGCCUAAUACAUGCAAGUCGAACGCACUCGACCUUCGGGUCACAUGAGUGAGUGGCGAACGGGUGAGUAACACGUGAGAAACCUGCCCUGAAGACCGGAAUAACCCGAGGAAACUCGAGCUAAUGCCGGAUAUCCCCAUCUGGUCGCAUGGCCUAAUGAGGAAAUGUUCAGGCGCUUCAGGAGGGUCUCACGGCCUAUCAGCUAGUUGGUGAGGUAACGGCUCACCAAGGCAUCGACGGGUAGCUGGUCUGAGAGGACGAUCAGCCACACUGGGACUGAGACACGGCCCAGACUCCUACGGGAGGCAGCAGUAGGGAAUCUUGCGCAAUGGGCGAAAGCCUGACGCAGCCACGCCGCGUGAGGGAUGAAGGCUCUCGGGUUGUAAACCUCUUUCAGCAGGGACGAAAAUGACGGUACCUGCAGAAGAAGCUCCGGCCAACUACGUGCCAGCAGCCGCGGUAACACGUAGGGAGCAAGCGUUGUCCGGAAUUAUUGGGCGUAAAGAGCUCGUAGGCGGUUUAGUAAGUCAGGUGUGAAAACUCGAGGCUCAACCUCGAGAGGCCACCUGAUACUGCUGUGACUGGAGUCCGGUAGAGGAGUGUGGAAUUCCUGGUGUAGCGGUGAAAUGCGCAGAUAUCAGGAGGAACACCGACAGCGAAGGCAGCACUCUGGGCCGGUACUGACGCUGAGGAGCGAAAGCGUGGGGAGCGAACAGGAUUAGAUACCCUGGUAGUCCACGCCGUAAACGUUGGGCACUAGGUGUGGGGUCUAGCUAACAGAUUCCGCGCCGCAGUUAACGCAUUAAGUGCCCCGCCUGGGGAGUACGGCCGCAAGGCUAAAACUCAAAUGAAUUGACGGGGACCCGCACAAGCAGUGGAGCAUGUGGUUUAAUUCGACGCUACGCGAAGAACCUUACCAGCUCUUGACAUGCUAAGUUUUGGAUUUAAGAGAUUAAAUUCUUCAGUUCGGCUGGGCUUAGUACAGGUGCUGCAUGGCUGUCGUCAGCUCGUGUCGUGAGAUGUUCGGUUAAGUCCGGCAACGAGCGCAACCCUCAUCUUCAGUUACUAACAGGUUAAGCUGAGGACUCUGGAGAAACUGCCGUUGGAAAAGCGGAGGAAGGCGAGGAUGACGUCAAGUCCUCAUGGCCCUUAUGGGCUGGGCUACACACGUGCUACAAUGGUAAUUACAAUAAGUCGCGAAAUGGCAACAUUGAGCUAAUCUUUAAAAAUUAUCUUAGUUCAGAUUGUUCUCUGCAACUCGAGAGCAUGAAGUUGGAAU
RNAcentral lists this ribosomal RNA (1315 nucleotides) under marine metagenome. RNAcentral's name for it is "bacterial SSU rRNA". It matches the Rfam family "Bacterial small subunit ribosomal RNA", at positions 8 to 1332 of the family's 1533-position model. The record is from RNAcentral.